UGGGCCGAAACGGGGGUGGCAUUAAUAUAUCGGAACGUGCCCUGGAGUGGGGGAUAACUAGUCGAAAGAUUAGCUCAUACCGCAUACGAUCUAAGGAUGAAAUGGGGGAUCUCAAGACCUCCUGCUCAUGCAGCGGCCCCUCUCUGGUUAGUUACUUGGUGGGGUAAAAGCCUACCAAGGCGUCUAUCCCUAUCUCACCUGAGAGGACGACCAGCCACACUGGGACUGAGACACGGCCCAGACUCCUACGGGAGGCAGCAGGGGGGUGGAGGGGGCACCUGAUCCGCAUGCCGCGUGAUGAGAAGCCUUCGGGUUGUAAGCUCUUUUGUCAGGGAAGAAACGGUGGGAGCUAAUAUCUUCUGCUAAUGACGGUACCUGAAGAAUAAGCACCGGCUAACUACGUGCCAGCAGCCGCGGUAAUACGUAGGGUGCGAGCGUUAAUCGGAAUUACUGGGCGUAAAGCGUGCGCAGGCGGUUGUGCAAGACAGAUGUGAAAUCCCCGGGCUCAACCUGGGAAUUGCAUUUGUGACUGCACGGCUAGAGUGUGUCAGAGGGGGGUAGAAUUCCACGUGUAGCAGUGAAAUGCGUAGAGAUGUGGAGGAAUACCGAUGGCGAAGGCAGCCCCCUGGGAUAACACUGACGCUCAUGCACGAAAGCGUGGGGAGCAAACAGGAUUAGAUACCCUGGUAGUCCACGCCCUAAACGAUGUCAACUAGUUGUCGGGUCUUAAUUGACUUGGUAACGCAGCUAACGCGUGAAGUUGACCACCUGGGGAGUACGGUCAAGAUUAAAACUCAAAGGAAUUGACGGGGACCCGCACAAGCGGUGGAUGAUGUGGAUUAAUUCGAUGCAACGCGAAAAACCUUACCUACCCUUGACAUGGCAGGAAUCCCGGAGAGAUCUGGGAAUGUUCGAAUGAGAACCUGCAAACAGGUGCUGCAUGGCUGUCGUCAGCUCUCUCGUGAGAUGUUGGGUUAAGUCCCGCAAUGAGCGCAACCCUUUUCAUUAGUUGCUACGAAAGGGCACUCUAAUGAGACUCCGGUGACAAACCGGAGGAAGGUGGGGAUGACGUCAAGUCCUCAUGGCCCUUAUGGGUAGGGCUUCACACGUCAUACAAUGGUACAUACAGAGGGCCGCCAACCCGCGAGGGGGAGCUAAUCCCAGAAAGUGUAUCGUAGUCCGGAUUGGAGUCUGCAACUCGACUCCAUGAAGUUGGAAUCGCUAGUAAUCGCGGAUCUAGCAUGUAGCGGUGAAUACGUUCCCGGGUCUUGUACUCACCGCCCUUUAUAAGAAAAGGGCGACG
Molecule: ribosomal RNA, 1303 nt
Filed under: uncultured Herbaspirillum sp.
Lineage: Bacteria; Pseudomonadati; Pseudomonadota; Betaproteobacteria; Burkholderiales; Oxalobacteraceae
Description: partial 16S ribosomal RNA
Rfam family: Bacterial small subunit ribosomal RNA
Source: RNAcentral